RNAcentral lists this ribosomal RNA (1017 nucleotides) under uncultured Actinomycetes bacterium. RNAcentral's name for it is "bacterial SSU rRNA". It matches the Rfam family "Bacterial small subunit ribosomal RNA", at positions 47 to 1057 of the family's 1533-position model. Lineage: Bacteria; Bacillati; Actinomycetota; Actinomycetes. The record is from RNAcentral.
CAGCUUACCAUGCAAGUCGAGCGGAGAGAGGUAGCUUGCUACUGAUCUUAGCGGCGGACGGGUGAGUAAUGCUUAGGAAUCUGCCUAUUAGUGGGGGACAACAUUUCGAAAGGAAUGCUAAUACCGCAUACGUCCUACGGGAGAAAGCAGGGGAUCUUCGGACCUUGCGCUAAUAGAUGAGCCUAAGUCGGAUUAGCUAGUUGGUGGGGUAAAGGCCUACCAAGGCGACGAUCUGUAGCGGGUCUGAGAGGAUGAUCCGCCACACUGGGACUGAGACACGGCCCAGACUCCUACGGGAGGCAGCAGUGGGGAAUAUUGGACAAUGGGCGCAAGCCUGAUCCAGCCAUGCCGCGUGUGUGAAGAAGGCCUUAUGGUUGUAAAGCACUUUAAGCGAGGAGGAGGCUACUUUAGUUAAUACCUAGAGAUAGUGGACGUUACUCGCAGAAUAAGCACCGGCUAACUCUGUGCCAGCAGCCGCGGUAAUACAGAGGGUGCAAGCGUUAAUCGGAUUUACUGGGCGUAAAGCGCGCGUAGGCGGCUAAUUAAGUCAAAUGUGAAAUCCCCGAGCUUAACUUGGGAAUUGCAUUCGAUACUGGUUAGCUAGAGUGUGGGAGAGGAUGGUAGAAUUCCAGGUGUAGCGGUGAAAUGCGUAGAGAUCUGGAGGAAUACCGAUGGCGAAGGCAGCCAUCUGGCCUAACACUGACGCUGUGGUGCGAAAGCAUGGGGAGCAAACAGGAUUAGAUACCCUGGUAGUCCAUGCCGUAAACGAUGUCUACUAGCCGUUGGGGCCUUUGAGGCUUUAGUGGCGCAGCUAACGCGAUAAGUAGACCGCCUGGGGAGUACGGUCGCAAGACUAAAACUCAAAUGAAUUGACGGGGGCCCGCACAAGCGGUGGAGCAUGUGGUUUAAUUCGAUGCAACGCGAAGAACCUUACCUGGCCCUUGACAUAGUAAGAACUUUCCAGAGAUGGAUUGGUGCCUUUCGGGAACUUACAUACAGUGCUGCAUGCUGUCGUCA